Molecule: ribosomal RNA, 497 nt
Filed under: uncultured bacterium
Lineage: Bacteria
Description: partial 16S ribosomal RNA
Rfam family: Bacterial small subunit ribosomal RNA
Source: RNAcentral
GACGAACGCUGGCGGCGUGCCUAAUACAUGCAAGUUGAGCGCUGAAGGUUGGUACUUGUACCAACUGGAUGAGCAGCGAACGGGUGAGUAACGCGUGGGGAAUCUGCCUUUGAGCGGGGGACAACAUUUGGAAACGAAUGCUAAUACCGCAUAAAAACUUUAAACACAAGUUUUAAGUUUGAAAGAUGCAAUUGCAUCACUCAAAGAUGAUCCCGCGUUGUAUUAGCUAGUUGGUGAGGUAAAGACUCACCAAGGCGAUGAUACAUAGCCGACCUGAGAGGGUGAUCGGCCACAUUGGGACUGAGACACGGCCCAAACUCCUACGGGAGGCAGCAGUAGGGAAUCUUCGGCAAUGGACGAAAGUCAGACCGAGCAACGCCGCGUGAGUGAAGAAGGUUUUCGGAUCGUAAAACUCUGUUGGUAGAGAAGAACGUUGGUGAGAGUGGAAAGCUCAUCAAGUGACGGUAACUACCCAGAAAGGGACGGCUAACUACGUG